UGCAGUCGGACGGGAUUGAGGAGCUUGCUUCUCAUGAGAGUGGCGCACGGGUGCGCAACACGUAUGUAACCUACCUUGUUCAGGGGGAUAGCCUCUCGAAAGAGAGAUUAACACCGCAUAAAAUCAAUUUAUGGCAUCAUAGAAUGAUCAAAUAUUUAUAGGAACAAGAUGGGCAUGCGGAACAUUAGCUAGUUGGUAAGGUAACGGCUUACCAAGGCUACGAUGUUUAGGGGAUCUGAGAGGAUGACCCCCCACACUGGUACUGAGACACGGACCAGACUCCUACGGGAGGCAGCAGUAAGGAAUAUUGGUCAAUGGACGCAAGUCUGAACCAGCCAUGCCGCGUGCAGGAAGACGGCCCUACGGGUUGUAAACUGCUUUUGUACCGGAAUAAACCUUUUCACGUGUGAGAAGCUGAAUGUACGGUAAGAAUAAGGAUCGGCUAACUCCGUGCCAGCAGCCGCGGUAAUACGGAGGAUCCAAGCGUUAUCCGGAUUUAUUGGGUUUAAAGGGUGCGUAGGUGGCCUAUUAAGUCAGGGGUGAAAGACGGUAGCUUAACUAUCGCAGUGCCUUUGAUACUGAUGGGCUUGAAUACACUUGAGGUAGGCGGAAUGUGACAAGUAGCGGUGAAAUGCAUAGAUAUGUCACAGAACACCAAUUGCGAAGGCAGCUUACUAAAGUGUUAUUGACACUGAGGCACGAAAGCGUGGGGAUCAAGCAGGAUUAGAUACCCUGGUAGUCCACGCCCUAAACGAUGAAUACUCGAUGUUGGCGAUAUA
This 779-nucleotide ribosomal RNA is filed under the name uncultured bacterium. RNAcentral's name for it is "bacterial SSU rRNA". It matches the Rfam family "Bacterial small subunit ribosomal RNA", at positions 56 to 833 of the family's 1533-position model. The record is from RNAcentral.